UUUAAACUCCUCAAGGGCAGAGGGCAAGGUCUGUAUUGCAAAUAUACUGAAUUCUUACACUAGGCAAGAUCCCUGGCAUGUAGCAGGAGACCAGAAAGUAUUCAUGGAAGAAAAUACGGUCACAGGAAAGGAAGGAAGAAUGGAAGUAAGGACAUGAGCUUCCCAAAGCCACAGAGUUGGGAAGUAGGGAAGUUGGGAUUUGAAUCCAGGCCAUGAAAACAUACAACCUCCUCUUAAGGGUAUCUACUGCACAGAAGAAAACAGCUAGCUUGCCGAACAAGAUUUUCAGCAGUUUCCAAAGUAAAGGCUGGAGACCAACUGGGGCACACAGCAAGAAAAUACAACCUCAUGCAAACGUUUUCAUCUAACCCAAGGUCUCACAGAUCCCUUUUGUGAACCUCGUGCACUUCCCAGUGAGUCCAGCCUUAGCAAUUUGGGGCAAUCUGACAGUGACUGGCCCUAAACUUCUCCCCAAGAACAGCUGCUUAACGUUGUCGGAGCUCAGCAGUGGCCUCUCCAGAGCUGUGGGCCAAAGAGAAACACACCGUUCCAAACCUCCAACAGCGAUGACACUGCACAGACUAUGCAAACAGGAGCGUGCUUGGUGGCACAGCAUGAAUCAGGGCUCUCUGGAAAGUUGGCCAGCAAGGCAAAUACACACUAGUUGUCCCAUGCUUUCCCUACCCUGAAAAAAAUCAUGGCCUCUGAUACCAGGGGACAUUUACAUGGGGAGAGGAAGCCAGACUGAAAUUCUUUAUCUAUGAGGUAUCUGAAAAUGCUCCCGCAUACUUCCAAAGAAAGAAAAGAUUUUGUUACCUUGA
Non-coding RNA from Macaca mulatta (Rhesus monkey), 821 nucleotides. Lineage: Eukaryota; Metazoa; Chordata; Mammalia; Primates; Cercopithecidae. The record is from RefSeq and is a predicted model, not a curated record.